ACCUUUUUAAGUUAUUGUUUAUACCAAGAUGGUGAGGCUACGACAUCCUGGAAAUGAUACUUGGCUGGUUUUUUAUCUAAAGAAAACUAAAAAGUUGGCUAAGAGAUUCCCACAGACGGAGCUAAAUUUUUUGACCAAAAAGUGUCAAGCUUUUUGUUAAACUAAUUAAUUAAGAAAAUAGAAGAUAAAUCUCAGCCAAGGAUAAUUAACUCUAGAUCUAAGCACAUCAAAUAAGAGAACAAGAUAUAAUCAAUCUUAUAAAUUUAUAAGAUAUCAAAUGUAAAUGAUAGGCUUACAUUCUUGACAUAUUAUCCCAUGAUGUAGUGAUAAAGACAUAAAAGAUGGAAUUCCAUCAACAAUGACAAGAUCUAUCUUUAUUGAUUCGAUCAACACGAUUAGAGAGAUUUGUAUUCACUAUCUAAACCAUUUCUUGAUUUUCUUCCUUUUUUCUCUUUCUGGGAGAGGAAGUCCAUCUUUUCUUGUCUUCUUACCCCCUAUAUAUAUUAUCAGUAUUCCCUUUGAUACAUCGGUCCUUAACCAGAAUGCCUUCAUCCAUUGAUUGUACUCCACGUUGCCUCCCUCAAGUACCAUGAUAUUACUUCGCCAUAUAGGCUUUUUGAUGGCUCAAUCUCGGUAGUGGAUGAGGUAUUCAUUGUUAUUAUACCUUGUGGGUACGACCAUGGAUUAGCUGACAACUUACUAUUUUUAUUAGUG
This 714-nucleotide long non-coding RNA is filed under the name Nicotiana benthamiana. Its description in RNAcentral is "long non-coding RNA (NBEN_LNC022341)". The record is from RNAcentral. Lineage: Eukaryota; Viridiplantae; Streptophyta; Magnoliopsida; Solanales; Solanaceae.